UUGUCCCGGGCAAGUCUCCUACGACCAGCUCCCAUUGACUCCCCCAGGUUGGGAACAAAGCAAGGGUAUUUGGUUGAGCGGUGCGAUAGGAGUAGCUUGCCCAUUU
Non-coding RNA from Sphingobacterium sp. JB170, 106 nucleotides. The record is from Rfam. NCBI's taxonomy places the organism in Bacteria, Pseudomonadati, Bacteroidota, Sphingobacteriia, Sphingobacteriales, Sphingobacteriaceae.